RNAcentral lists this ribosomal RNA (294 nucleotides) under Salmonella enterica subsp. enterica serovar Give. Its description in RNAcentral is "partial 23S ribosomal RNA". It matches the Rfam family "Bacterial large subunit ribosomal RNA", at positions 799 to 1090 of the family's 2925-position model. Lineage: Bacteria; Pseudomonadati; Pseudomonadota; Gammaproteobacteria; Enterobacterales; Enterobacteriaceae. The record is from RNAcentral.
AGCGGAUGACCUGUGGCUGGGGGUGAAAGGCCAAUCAAACCGGGAGAUAGCUGGUUCUCCCCGAAAGCUAUUUAGGUAGCGCCUCGUGAAUUCAUCUCCGGGGGUAGAGCACUGUUUCGGCUAGGGGGCCAUCCCGGCUUACCAACCCGAUGCAAACUGCGAAUACCGGAGAAUGUUAUCACGGGAGACACACGGCGGGUGCUAACGUCCGUCGUGAAGAGGGAAACAACCCAGACCGCCAGCUAAGGUCCCAAAGUCAUGGUUAAGUGGGAAACGAUGUGGGAAGGCCCAGAC